This 572-nucleotide ribosomal RNA is filed under the name Candida albicans. RNAcentral's name for it is "eukaryotic LSU rRNA". It matches the Rfam family "Eukaryotic large subunit ribosomal RNA", at positions 71 to 658 of the family's 3401-position model. The record is from RNAcentral. Lineage: Eukaryota; Fungi; Ascomycota; Pichiomycetes; Serinales; Debaryomycetaceae.
GGGAUUGCCUCAGUAGCGGCGAGUGAAGCGGCAAAAGCUCAAAUUUGAAAUCUGGCGUCUUUGGCGUCCGAGUUGUAAUUUGAAGAAGGUAUCUUUGGGCCCGGCUCUUGUCUAUGUUCCUUGGAACAGGACGUCACAGAGGGUGAGAAUCCCGUGCGAUGAGAUGACCCGGGUCUGUGUAAAGUUCCUUCGACGAGUCGAGUUGUUUGGGAAUGCAGCUCUAAGUGGGUGGUAAAUUCCAUCUAAAGCUAAAUAUUGGCGAGAGACCGAUAGCGAACAAGUACAGUGAUGGAAAGAUGAAAAGAACUUUGAAAAGAGAGUGAAAAAGUACGUGAAAUUGUUGAAAGGGAAGGGCUUGAGAUCAGACUUGGUAUUUUGCAUGUUGCUCUCUCGGGGGCGGCCGCUGCGGUUUACCGGGCCAGCAUCGGUUUGGAGCGGCAGGAUAAUGGCGGAGGAAUGUGGCACGGCUUCUGCUGUGUGUUAUAGCCUCUGACGAUACUGCCAGCCUAGACCGAGGACUGCGGUUUUUACCUAGGAUGUUGGCAUAAUGAUCUUAAGUCGCCCGUCUUGAA